CAGCCGCCGCGGGAAUACAGAGGGUGCGAGCGUUAAUCGGAUUUACUGGGCGUAAAGCGUGCGUAGGCGGCUUCUUAAGUCGGAUGUGAAAUCCCUGAGCUUAACUUAGGAAUUGCAUUCGAUACUGGGAAGCUAGAGUAUGGUAGAGGAUGGUAGAAUUCCAGGUGUAGCGGUGAAAUGCGUAGAGAUCUGGAGGAAUACCGAUGGCGAAGGCAGCCAUCUGGCCUAAUACUGACGCUGAGGUACGAAAGCAUGGGGAGCAAACAGGAUUAGAUACCCGAGUAGUCCCUGUCUCUUAUAC
RNAcentral lists this ribosomal RNA (301 nucleotides) under uncultured bacterium. Its description in RNAcentral is "partial 16S ribosomal RNA". It matches the Rfam family "Bacterial small subunit ribosomal RNA", at positions 509 to 807 of the family's 1533-position model. The record is from RNAcentral.